Molecule: long non-coding RNA, 586 nt
Filed under: Homo sapiens (human)
Lineage: Eukaryota; Metazoa; Chordata; Mammalia; Primates; Hominidae
Description: HSALNT0387330
Source: RNAcentral
CGAAAUAAACAUUAUUCAGGCCAAAAGGAGGAGCAGGGAGCCUGAGAAGCUUGGAGCCCAGGAACCUAAAAAAGUCUCCUCCCACACUGAAUACGGCUAACCUGUGUAAACACCCGAGACUGUGGAAACGACAGUGCAUGGCUGUGGCUGUCUCACUCUGUUGCCCAGGCUAUAGUGCAGAGGUGUGACCACGGCUCACUGCAACCUUGAUUUCCUGGCCUCAAGCGAUCCUCCUACCUCAGCAUCCUGAGUAGCUGGGACUACAGGCGUGUGCCAUGAUGCCUGGCUAAUUGAAUUCCACUCUGCAGACAACACAAGCCUUUGUAGGUUUACAGCAAUGAACCGUUGGGGCCACCUUGGUACUUGUGAAAGAGAAGGCUUCCCCUGGAGGAGGAAAUGGGCCAGGGUCCAGGUGAGAAAACUGAAGCUCAGAGACACAAAGUGCCUAACUCCAAGUCCUACAGCUAGCAAAUGGUAGAGCAGGGAUCUGUACCAAUAACCCAGGUGCAUCUGACUCUACAGUUCAUCUUAACGCAGCAGCACUCGAGGCUGUGCAGAGCCCCUACCUGAAGUGCUUGGUACUGAC